ACAGCCUGAGGACCGGAAAACCUGCUGCCGGCCCGCCUUGACAUACCCUCCCAACCAACAAGGUGCGAUGUGGGGAAGGCAGUCCCACCAGGCUGU
RNAcentral lists this non-coding RNA (96 nucleotides) under unclassified sequences. RNAcentral describes it as "skipping-rope RNA". It matches the Rfam family "skipping-rope RNA". Rfam says of the family: Firmicutes, Fusobacteria, AlphaProteobacteria, Spirochaetes. Downstream gene The record is from Rfam by way of RNAcentral.